AAAUGAAUAGACGGGGGCCCGCACAAGCGGCGGAGCAUGCGGAUUAAUUCGAUGCAACGCGAAGAACCUUACCUGGGUUUGACAUAUGCCGGAAGCAUUCAGAGAUGGGUGUGCCUUUUUGGUCGGUUUACAGGUGGUGCAUGGCUGUCGUCAGCUCGUGUCGUGAGAUGUUGGGUUAAGUCCCGCAACGAGCGCAACCCUUGUCCUAUGUUGCCAGCACGUUAUGGUGGGAACUCAUGGGAGACUGCCGGGGUCAACUCGGAGGAAGGUGGGGAUGACGUCAAGUCAUCAUGCCCCUUAUGUCCAGGGCUUCACGCAUGCUACAAUGGCUGGUACAGAGGGUUGCGAGCCUGUGAGGGUGAGCGAAUCCCUUAAAGCCAGUCUCAGUUCGGAUUGGGGUCUGCAACUCGACCUCAUGAAGUCGGAGUCGCUAGUAAUCGCAGAUCAGCAUUGCUGCGGUGAAUACGUUCCCGGGCCUUGUACACACCGCCCGU
Molecule: ribosomal RNA, 494 nt
Filed under: uncultured bacterium
Lineage: Bacteria
Description: bacterial SSU rRNA
Rfam family: Bacterial small subunit ribosomal RNA
Source: RNAcentral